This 64-nucleotide transfer RNA is filed under the name Scaphisoma boleti. Its description in RNAcentral is "tRNA-Pro". Lineage: Eukaryota; Metazoa; Arthropoda; Insecta; Coleoptera; Staphylinidae. The record is from RNAcentral.
CAGAGAAUAGUUUAAUAAAAAUAUUAAUUUUGGAGAUUAAUGAUAGAAGUAUUUCUUUCUCUGA